CUUUAACCUUUCCUGGUAAGUUUUAUCCCGCAAUCCAUGAACCAGUUUAGUAGCCCUUCUCUGAACCCUCUCUAAGGUAUCAAUAUCCUUCUGAAGAUACGGUCUCCAGUACUGUGUACAAUACUCCAAGUGAGGUCUCACCAGUGUUCUGUAUAAUGGCAUGAGCACUUCCCUCUUUCUACUGCUAAUAACUCUCCCUAUACAACCAAGCAUUCCGUUUGGUUGUGUAUAGUAUAUACUUAAAAUGAUGUAUAGUGAUUAUAAC
Molecule: non-coding RNA, 265 nt
Organism: Pelobates cultripes (western spadefoot toad)
Lineage: Eukaryota; Metazoa; Chordata; Amphibia; Anura; Pelobatidae
Source: the annotation of a GenBank genome assembly